GAUGAAGAACGUAGCGAAACGCGAAAGGUAAUGCGAAUUGCAGAUCAGUGAGUCAUCGAAUAUUUGAACGCACAUUGCGCCCCCUGGUAUUCCGGGGGGCAUGCCUGUCCGAGCGUCAUUGCUGCCCUCAAGCACGGCUUGUGUGUUGGGCCCCGUCCUCCGAUCCCGGGGGACGGGCCCGAAAGGCAGCGGCGGCACCGCGUCCGGUCCUCGAGCGUAUGGGGCUUUGUCACCCGCUCUGUAGGCCCGGCCGGCGCUUGCCGAUCAACCCAAAUUUUUAUCCAGGUUGACCUCGGAUCAGGUAGGGAUACCCGCUGAACUUAAGCAUAUCAAUAAGCGGAGGA
RNAcentral lists this unclassified non-coding RNA (344 nucleotides) under soil metagenome. Its description in RNAcentral is "partial contains 5.8S ribosomal RNA, internal transcribed spacer 2, and large subunit ribosomal RNA". The stretch from base 1 to 118 matches the Rfam family "5.8S ribosomal RNA", at positions 35 to 154 of the family's 154-position model. The record is from RNAcentral.